UGGGGAAUAUUGCACAAUGGGCGAAAGCCUGAUGCAGCUACGCCGCGUGAGCGAUGAAGGCCUUCGGGUCGUAAAGCUCUGUCCUCAAGGAAGAUAAUGACGGUACUUGAGGAGGAAGCCCCGGCUAACUACGUGCCAGCAGCCGCGGUAAUACGUAGGGGGCUAGCGUUAUCCGGAAUUACUGGGCGUAAAGGGUGCGUAGGUGGUUUCUUAAGUCAGAGGUGAAAGGCUACGGCUCAACCGUAGUAAGCCUUUGAAACUGGGAAACUUGAGUGCAGGAGAGGAGAGUGGAAUUCCUAGUGUAGCGGUGAAAUGCGUAGAUAUUAGGAGGAACACCAGUUGCGAAGGCGGCUCUCUGGACUGUAACUGACGCUGAGGCACGAAAGCCAGGGGAGCAAACG
Molecule: ribosomal RNA, 401 nt
Filed under: uncultured prokaryote
Description: bacterial SSU rRNA
Rfam family: Bacterial small subunit ribosomal RNA
Source: RNAcentral